Molecule: RNA transcript, 1217 nt
Organism: Prunus persica (peach)
Lineage: Eukaryota; Viridiplantae; Streptophyta; Magnoliopsida; Rosales; Rosaceae
Exons: 5
Source: RefSeq, a predicted model, not a curated record
UGUAUAUAGGUUCUUCCUUUUGUAAUGGUUAUCGUUUUAGAACUUGAGAGCCCCUUUUUAGGUUUUAGUGGAAGGAGAUGGAGAAAGAAGGAGAAAAUAAAAAUUGAGAUACAAGUAAAAUUAGUAAAAGAAUAUUCCAUUGUAGAAAUGAAUGGCAUGGGAGAAAUUUAUGCAAGAGAGAUUGCUCUUGUAAUGCAGCGCAAGAAUUUUGGAGAAAAUAUUUUGGAUGUGAUUACGAAUAGGAAAAAACAGGGGGAAACAAGUUUCUCGAGUUUCUCUUCACGAGUUUCAGCCACUUUCCCUGACGCAAGGUCGGGGUCGUUGCGAAUAGGACAAAUAUACACAAUGCCUUUGAAGGAUGAGGUUCCAGUUCAGCUCCUACUUCACGACUCUCUUUCCAGAAACCCAUUCUCUCCCUUCUUUCUCCUUCAAACUUCUUUCUACCAAAAUUCUACAACUCCAAUUCUUGCACCGCUGUCGCCUUUAGGAUCGUAUGAACGAGCUCUACAAGAUAAGUGUGGUUUGGGAGAAUGGUGGUCACUACUAGGCAGCUCAUUGAAGGUUGAGGAUUACUUUGGAGCUGUUAAGUAGGUGAAGAAUCUACCUUGGGCUGAACCUACAGAGAACUCAGUGUAAUUUUGGGUUGAAAUGGAAGUUGGAUGACAUGAAAGGAGGAUUCAGACCAAAAUUCAGCCUCCAGCCCGAAGUGAAAAUCUGCGUCUGCUAAACUCUGCAGGAAAUGUGGCCACAUUGCCAGAAUCCUUUGUAGUAUCUAAAAUUUGGUGCCCCAAUUUUACAUUUUUUUGUUACAUUGGAGGGAAUCGAACCUGGGAUUGUCCUAAUCCGAACCCGGUUAAGGAAUAAUCCAAAGCCUCUCGGGCUCAGAUUUUAUAGCAAACCACAGAACCAAAUUAUGGAGAUCCUAUUUCCUUGUUUCCACUAUGUUCACUAUAAUGCAAAUUCUGUUAAUAGGGUAACAUGUCAUUAUGUAACAACCCGCGGCUUCAUGAAGUUUCAAGUAUUGGAGCAGAUGAUAGACGAGCAUUGAGCACUACAGAAAACUGAGAAGAAGGCUAGAAUAGAUGAGCAACGUAAUAGACAACCCACAUAUAAGAGAAAACCGAUCGAGUGUCUUUUGAUUCAGAAUUGGAAGGGCUUAAUUAUUGAUUGGCCCCAUGAAACUUAAUUGUAUUCUCAUUUUUCUCAAUGAAACUCAA